Molecule: ribosomal RNA, 387 nt
Filed under: uncultured bacterium
Lineage: Bacteria
Description: bacterial SSU rRNA
Rfam family: Bacterial small subunit ribosomal RNA
Source: RNAcentral
GAUUCUUAAAUGAAUUGACGGGGGCCCGCACAAGCAGUGGAGUAUGUGGUUUAAUUCGAAGCAACGCGAAGAACCUUACCAGGUCUUGACAUCCAACGACCGCCUAAGAGAUUAGGCUUUCCUUCGGGACGUUGAGACAGGUGGUGCAUGGUUGUCGUCAGCUCGUGUCGUGAGAUGUUGGGUUAAGUCCCGCAACGAGCGCAACCCUUAUUACUAGUUACUACGCAAGAGGACUCUAGUGAGACUGCCGUUGACAAAACGGAGGAAGGUGGGGAUGACGUCAAAUCAUCAUGCCCUUUAUGACCUGGGCUACACACGUACUACAAUGGCUAUUAACAGAGAGAAGCGAGACCGCAAGGUGGAGCAAACCUCAGAAAAAUAGUCUCA